Molecule: ribosomal RNA, 715 nt
Filed under: Salmonella enterica subsp. enterica serovar Enteritidis
Lineage: Bacteria; Pseudomonadati; Pseudomonadota; Gammaproteobacteria; Enterobacterales; Enterobacteriaceae
Description: bacterial LSU rRNA
Rfam family: Bacterial large subunit ribosomal RNA
Source: RNAcentral
CAUUUAAAGAAAGCGUAAUAGCUAACUGGUCAGGUCGGUCCGCGCGGAAGAUGUAACGGUGCUAAACCAUGCACCGAAGCUGCGGCAGCGACACAAAGUGUUGUUGGGUAGGGGAGCGUUCUGUAAGCCUGCGAAGGUGUACUGUGAGGUAUGCUGGAGGUAUCAGAAGUGCGAAUGCUGACAUAAGUAACGAUAAUGCGGGUGAAAAACCCGCACGCCGGAAGACCAAGGGUUCCUGUCCAACGUUAAUCGGGGCAGGGUGAGUCGACCCCUAAGGCGAGGCUGAAAAGCGUAGUCGAUGGGAAACGGGUUAAUAUUCCCGUACUGGUGGUAACUGCGAUGGGGGAACGGAGAAGGCUAGGUUGUCCGGGCGACGGUCGUCCCGGUUCAAGCAGGUAGGCAGAGUGAUUAGGCAAAUCCGGUCACUUAAUGCUGAGAUGUGAUGACGAACCACCAAGGUGGUGAAGCAAUUGAUGCCCCGCUUCCAGGAAAAGCCUCUAAGCUUCAGGUUACCAACAAUCGUACCCCAAACCGACACAGGUGGUCAGGUAGAGAAUACUCAGGCGCUUGAGAGAACUCGGGUGAAGGAACUAGGCAAAAUGGUGCCGUAACUUCGGGAGAAGGCACGCUGGCGGUAGGUAAAGUCCCUCGCGGACGGCGCCCAAGCCAGUCGAAGAUACCAGCUGGCUGCAACUGUUUAUUAAAAACACAGCAC